This 206-nucleotide ribosomal RNA is filed under the name uncultured bacterium. Its description in RNAcentral is "partial 16S ribosomal RNA". It matches the Rfam family "Bacterial small subunit ribosomal RNA", at positions 568 to 774 of the family's 1533-position model. The record is from RNAcentral.
UGCGCAGGUGGGUUGGCAAGUUCGAUGUGAAAGCCCCGGGCUUAACCCGGGAAUGGCAUUGGAUACUGCUGAUCUGGAGGGUCGGAGGGGGGACUGGAAUUCUUGGUGUAGCAGUGAAAUGCGUAGAUAUCAAGAGGAACACCAGUGGCGAAGGCGAGUCCCUGGACGAUACCUGACACUGAGGCACGAAAGCCAAGGAGCAAACA